RNAcentral lists this transfer RNA (71 nucleotides) under Loxodonta africana (African savanna elephant). It matches the Rfam family "tRNA". From Rfam's summary of the family: Transfer RNA (tRNA) molecules are approximately 80 nucleotides in length. The record is from Rfam by way of RNAcentral. Lineage: Eukaryota; Metazoa; Chordata; Mammalia; Proboscidea; Elephantidae.
UCAUUCGUGUUUCAGUGGUAGAAUUCUUGCUUUCAGUGUGGGAGACCCAGGUUUGAUUCCUGGCCAAUGCA